AAGGAAUGGCUGGGAGUUACAGACAGGAAGUGAUGUCGGGUGCAGAGAGUAAGUCUCUAUGCACAGACAGGAAGUGAUGUCAGCUACAGACAGGAAGUUCCGGGUUAGAGGUGAGUCAGGAGGAAGCAGAAAGGAGACCUUGCUGGAACUGGCAUCAGAAGAGAUCACAGGACCACGUAAGUGAGGAUUGACGUGGACCGUGAGUCACAUGACUGAGAAGACACUGUGAGAGGAUGACCCUCAUGGCUGACACAGGAAGUUGUCCUAAUAUGGACAGCUGGGGUAAUAUGACUGAGAAGAUGCUCAACCUCGCCCUGGAGAUCAUCUACCUGCUGACCCGAGAGAGAUUUUGUCCUCUGAAGUCAGGUGAUCCUAUGACUAUCA
Molecule: long non-coding RNA, 384 nt
Organism: Rana temporaria (common frog)
Lineage: Eukaryota; Metazoa; Chordata; Amphibia; Anura; Ranidae
Exons: 3
Source: RefSeq, a predicted model, not a curated record